RNAcentral lists this unclassified non-coding RNA (346 nucleotides) under Hevea brasiliensis (rubber tree). The record is from RNAcentral. Lineage: Eukaryota; Viridiplantae; Streptophyta; Magnoliopsida; Malpighiales; Euphorbiaceae.
AAAACUUGGAGCAGGGUUAUCGAUGGAGAAGAGGCGCUCCGCCUCAUCUGCUUGUUGGAUAAUGGCAUCGAUAUUGCUGACCUCUGUGACUGACUCCAAAACCUUCUUCUGCUGAGAUUUGUAGAAUCUACCUUUCUCCUUAGACUGCUGGAUCAUCUGGUUAUGUUGCUUCACAAGAGCCCGACCUAACCCCAUCUUGUCGUUCUUCCCCAUCGCCAAAUUCCAACACACAGACUAUUACAACUAUUUCUUCCAGCACCUAUGCUUUUAUUUCCUUAGGUAUUGAUAGACGGCACGUACCCCCGUAAGAACAAGAGAAUAGAAAAUCAGUGGAAAAUCGCCAGGA